This 2152-nucleotide unclassified non-coding RNA is filed under the name Leishmania donovani. RNAcentral describes it as "gene:LdHU3.18.1500(CDS-product:hypothetical_prote in_conserved)". Lineage: Eukaryota; Euglenozoa; Kinetoplastea; Trypanosomatida; Trypanosomatidae. The record is from RNAcentral.
AGAGGUGUGCGCCCACGCAUCAGGUCCAAGGAAACUGCGCUGACAUACAACGCGCAAGCCCAAGAGGAAUACGCGUAUUGCAAGGAGGACACACACGCAAGGGAGAGAAACGCAAAGGAGAAGUGACGCCUUAGCGCCACUUUUUCUCUUUCUCUUGCGCGUCACGUCAAGCAACUUACGGCUAUCAGCAGGGGCCUCCGAGGAAAGCAACCCCUCUCCCUCCUCACACACGCACUCUCUAGCGUGCACAUACGUCUGUUUCUCUCGCAGGCGUAGACGGCUGUUAUGGGCGCCCGUGCGUGAGCUUGCACCUCCCCUAUUCUACGCUCGGUACCUUUGAUUAGCGCAGUAACCCUUGAAUUGUGCAAGAUUAAGGCAGCGAGUGGAGAGCGCGCACAGCACUUCCCUCUUCCUGUCUCUUUUAGGUAGUUACGUGUGCCGCAUGCCACCUUCGGUUUCGUGUGCGUCGCACAACAACAGCAGAAUCGCCUCCGCGCAAGCGUUGGGAGAAGGCCGUUUUGAUAGUAGUCUAGCGUCCACACUAGCAUCUCUUUGAUUGUUUUUUUUUCCCUUUCCCGUCCUGACCACACGCCUCCCGUGCUCAUCUCCGUUGUAAACGCUUCGUUUGCGUCCUGCUGUGUGGCGUGCUCUGUGGCCACAGUGCGGCCGUGAGGUGGCCUCUUCGUGUGCUUUCUUGCGUUGUAUCUCUGUGCCUUUUUGCUUUGCUUUGCGGAGCCUCCGUUGCGUGUCCGCACCGCGAGACGAUGGAGCAGUUUGUGCAACCGUUAGAGGGCAUCUUCCGAGACGGCAUCCCUGCCCCUGUGCUGCGCGCCUUUGCUCCUCUCUUCCAGGCACUGCCGAGCCUUCAGGAACGCGUAGAGGCAUCUCGCGACUGCUAUUACUGGCGGGCAAACCCCAUGAAGUGCCUGGAGGAGGACAUAGACACGGUGACCGGCUUCAUGCAAGCCUGCGAAGCUUCCUUUCGGAUGUGCCCGCAGCAGUCGGCGACGCUGCUCAAGUGCCACAUGACGGAGCCGGCGCGUGCCGUCUACUUCUGCCGUGAUGAAGAGUGGGAGUGGCGCAGCUGCUUGAUGGAUCAGACCGGCAUCCGCUUCUGGCCGUACGCGAAUGCCCCGAUCGGCGCGCCGUGGUCGAACGGUGGGCAGACAGAGGAUUUUCAUCUGGAAGAUCGCUUCUUCUACGAGAACUUCUCUUUCUGGCGUCGUCGCGGGGCGAUGCUGGCGGUGCGCGAGCGUGAGCUAGAGGUGGCGGCGCAGCGCAAGCACUGGCUGGACGAGCAGACGGACGAUACCUCCCUAGCGGCACCGAAGCCGACCAUAGCGCCCGUCGGCAUCAGCACCAAGAUCAACUAGAACGGUGUGGGUGUGAUGAUGGUCGAGCCGAUGGAGCUGGACCACCAAGUUGGCAACCGAACCACACCACAAAUACACGCUUCAACACAGCGACGUAAAGGAGGAAGGAGAAAAGAUCAGGGCCGCACAUGCAGCACUGCCGGGUGCGCUGUCGAUUGAACUACCCCGUGUGUGGGACGCGUCCAUGGCGCUCUUUGCAUGCUGCCUCUGUCGUGCUUGCUCUCUCUCUGCGUUGUUUUUGUUCAGGUAGGUGCGUCUGGCGGUCACUCCUCUUUAUCUUCCGUUGAGCAGUCGUGCGUGUCUGCGCGUGUGCCGGUUGGGUGUAUCGUCUCUUUUCUCAUGUUCAUCUUCCUGUGUGCUCUUCGCAUUGCCCGCCUCCCCCUUUGUUGCUGUCUCGCCACCCCGUCUCUCAGUGCGCGCUUCUCCAGAGCCGCGGAAAAAGAAGCCAGCGACGGCAGCAGCAGCAGCAGCAGCAGCAGCAGCAGCAGCAGCAGCAGCAGCAGCAGCAGCAGCAGCAUGGGUGGUGGUGGUGGUAGUGGCGGCCACCGUAUUCGGACUAUCAACACGUUCACCCAACAGGCCUACCCGCGCGCCACACGUGCAUGCGUCGCGGAGGGAAAAGCGUGCGUCUGCCUAGCGCCGAUACGGCGGAGGGAGCGCCAGUGGUGUGCACAAACACCGCCCCCCUCCCUGCGCCUCCUCAUCCUCCUCUGAGUAGCAACAGAUGCGUGCCGUUAACUGUGCGUGUGUGCCCACUCAAGGUGGGACGCCCUGCGUAG